RNAcentral lists this long non-coding RNA (619 nucleotides) under Callithrix jacchus (white-tufted-ear marmoset). RNAcentral's name for it is "lncRNA (ENSCJAG00000054185.2)". Lineage: Eukaryota; Metazoa; Chordata; Mammalia; Primates; Cebidae. The record is from RNAcentral.
CAGUGGUUGUAUGGGGCAAGGGAAAGUGGAAGUGACAGCUGCCUUUGGGAAAAGGAAGAGGAAGAGGAAGAGGAAGGACAAGAAGCAAAAACAACCCCCCCCCCCAGAAAACCCUCCUGUCUCUUCUUGGGAGCCAUAGACUUUGACAACAACUUCCCUGCAGAUCCCACGGAAUGGGAGCAACAGCAUAUCUUUCCACGUAGCCUCACACAAGGUGGCAGAGACCUCAGGGCUCCUUGGAAAAGACGGGUGAUACUACAUCUGGGUGAUGCAAAAGCACGGAGUCUUGCUCUGUCACCUAAGCUAGAGUGCAGUGGCAUGAUCUCGGCUUACUGCAACCUCUGCCUCCGGGUUCAGGCAAUUUUCCUGUCUCAGCCUCCUGAGUAGCUGGGAUUACAGGAAGAGGAAAUUGGGAUGCAAAUAGGUACUGAAGAUCGUGUGAAGACAGGGAGGAGGUUGUCAUCAGCAAGCCAAGGAGAGAAGCCUCAGAAGACACCAACCCUGCCAACACUGUGACCUCAGACUCCAGCCCCCAGAACUGUGAGAAAUACAUUUCUAUUAUUUAUGUCAAUCUGUGGUCCUCUGCUAUGGCAGCCCUGGUGAACUAACAUACAAUGCU